UGCAGUUGUCGCCAAUCCGGAUCCGGAUUUGGAUCCGGAUUAGGAACAACAGGAUGCGAGUUGCAGGGAAACAUCAGAUCAGCAUGGAACGUCAGAGCGUCUUGGGACGGAUCAAGCAAAGCCAAUCAAGGGCCAGGCGAGGUAAGAAAGAUAACCGCGCCUAGCGAUGUUGACAUGCUGUCCCCCAGGGAUGCAUGUGCAUAGCGUAGCGGCCUUGGACCGUAACCAGGCAUCGGUUCGAUGCCGCUCUGCAAUACUUUCUCCCCCCUCUCUUCUCUCUCUUUCUCUCACUCUCUCCCCUUCCUACACCUUCACUCUCACUCCUAUCUGUUUUUGUUCAAGCUCUCUUACUGGACUCAUAAGCCUGGCGCAGCUGUCCACCAGCCUCUCAGAAACCUCCUCGUCCUCAUCUUCCGUCGGAAACCUCCUCCUUCCUCCUAGGAGCAUAUGCUCUUCGAGGCUCCAUUGAGCUUCCGAUGGCGAGCCCCGAUGACCCGACCCGAUCCGACCUUCAUCCAGGG
Molecule: long non-coding RNA, 521 nt
Filed under: Volvox carteri
Lineage: Eukaryota; Viridiplantae; Chlorophyta; Chlorophyceae; Chlamydomonadales; Volvocaceae
Description: long non-coding RNA (VCAR_LNC002646)
Source: RNAcentral